Molecule: ribosomal RNA, 164 nt
Filed under: Abutilon indicum
Lineage: Eukaryota; Viridiplantae; Streptophyta; Magnoliopsida; Malvales; Malvaceae
Description: 5.8S ribosomal RNA
Rfam family: 5.8S ribosomal RNA (bases 1-143)
About the family: 5.8S ribosomal RNA (5.8S rRNA) is a component of the large subunit of the eukaryotic ribosome. It is transcribed by RNA polymerase I as part of the 45S precursor that also contains 18S and 28S rRNA.
Source: RNAcentral
GGAUAUCUCGGCUCUCGCAUCGAUGAAGAACGUAGCGAAAUGCGAUACUUGGUGUGAAUUGCAGAAUCCCGCGAACCAUCGAGUCUUUGAACGCAAGUUGCGCCCCAAGCCAUUAGGCCGAGGGCACGUCUGCCUGGGUGUCACGCAUCGUUGCCCCCAUCAAA